Molecule: transfer RNA, 86 nt
Filed under: Pseudomonas phage D6
Lineage: Duplodnaviria; Heunggongvirae; Uroviricota; Caudoviricetes
Rfam family: tRNA
About the family: Transfer RNA (tRNA) molecules are approximately 80 nucleotides in length. Their secondary structure includes four short double-helical elements and three loops (D, anti-codon, and T loops).
Source: Rfam by way of RNAcentral
GGAGAGGUGCGUGAGUGGUUGUAAACGAGCGGUCUUGAAAACCGCCAGGUGUAAAAGCCUCCAGGGUUCGAAUCCCUGUCUCUCCG